This 676-nucleotide long non-coding RNA is filed under the name Marmota monax (woodchuck). Lineage: Eukaryota; Metazoa; Chordata; Mammalia; Rodentia; Sciuridae. The record is from RNAcentral.
AAUUUUCCUACUAGUAUUCCUGGUGGGCCUUUUGGAGACCCAGCUGGUGGAGGAUGGCUUAACCAUAGGACUUGUCAUUUCUGUAGGAGUUGCUGGAAAUAAACUCAGGUGGAGUUAUAGUGCUUGUGUGUCCAUGUAUGAGCUCCUGGAGGGGUAAGUGCCAUGAUCUUGCCUGCAGGCUUGUGGAAACCUUUGUGACAACUGGGGAAAGGGUGCAACAAGCCCGUUUGCAGAAGAGACCACAAGUUUGGGCCACUCUGACCUAGAUAUGUGUGCAGACUCAUUCUGUCUUUAUUCCUCUUAAUAUCUCUUUGUCAUUCCUCAUCUUUUUUCCUUUUGGUACUUCAUUAUAUGUAAUGUCUUCAGCUUUAUUUUCUAGUUUUUAAAUAUAUUUUAAAAAUUUUUAGUUAUAGAUGAACACAAUAUCUUUAUUUUGUGUACUUGUUUUUAUGUGGUGCUGAGAAUCUAAUCCAGUGCCUCCCAUGUGCAAAGCAAGUGCUCUGCCACUGAGCCACAAUUCCAGCCCUAUCUACUAGUUUUAUAGUUGAAAACUUUAAUCUACAGAUGAGCCACUUGUUUUUGUAAAUUAAGUCUUAUUGGACCACAGCCAUGCUUGUGUGACAUGUACACAAAACAUAUUUACAUACUCACCAUGGCUGCUUUUAUACUACUAAAG